UAUAGUUGUAUAGCCUCGUCUUUUAUUUUCCAUCACUCGAUCAAAUGGUUGGUAUUUAGCAGGUUUAUUCUUCAUAUAAACUCAUCUUUGUAAGAGCAUCACAACCUAGUAUGUAGUUAAGAAUAUUAGCCUCAUCUUAUAUUUAUAUUCCCACCAUUACCAUGUUACUCUUCCCUUUCUCCAUACGAUGCUACGAACGAAACCAGGUAAGAACUCCCAAUCUUCGCCAUCACAAAAUCCUAAUA
This 245-nucleotide long non-coding RNA is filed under the name Elaeis guineensis (African oil palm). Its description in RNAcentral is "long non-coding RNA (EGUI_LNC025624)". The record is from RNAcentral. Lineage: Eukaryota; Viridiplantae; Streptophyta; Magnoliopsida; Arecales; Arecaceae.